This is a non-coding RNA of Phrynosoma platyrhinos (Desert horned lizard), 72 nucleotides long. The record is from the annotation of a GenBank genome assembly. NCBI's taxonomy places the organism in Eukaryota, Metazoa, Chordata, Lepidosauria, Squamata, Phrynosomatidae.
GCCAAUGUAGUGUAGUGGUUUGUGCAUUGGGCUACAACACCGGGAGACCAGGGUUUGAAUCCCUGCUUGGCA